AAUCGUUUUUGGAAGUUGCGAACAGGAAUUAUUUUAAUUUUCCAUAGUGUUUAAUUGCCUGAUUGCCUGAUCGAAAUCGUUGAUGGAAUCAUGUUUAUCGUCAAUAGCUGAAUAGUAAAUUCUACCGAUAAAGACAUGAUACCCAAAAGAAUAUUUCUAGAUAGAUUAUGGAUAUUAUGGUAUUGGAAGAAAGAAAAAAGGUGAUUCAGAUGAUGAUGGUUCCUCUCUCUCUCUCUCUCUUUGGCUUUUAUUUUUAAUAUCGAUGGACAAUUGGAUAUUCACCUCAUUUAAACAGCAUGAAGAAAAAGCCUGGAUGAUGAUGACUAUUACAUGAUGGCGAAGAUGAAAAUGUAAUUGCUGGUCAGAAACAUCAUUUUCAUAAUCAUCUUUAGUACAAUGAUAGAUUAUUAGAUGAUGCACUUAAGUAGUCCUGAUUUUCGGAUAACUGUGGACCUUCUUAUUCUCUCUCAAUCUUCCGUUGCAAUUCUGGCUUCUUCAAUUCUGUGAAUCUCCUUCUCCCAUCCAACAUCACUUGGAUAAAUGUCUUCUGAAGUUUAGAGAAGGAAAAAGCCACUAAAAUUAAGUGGUUACAAUCAGAGAGAGAGAGAGAGAGAGAGAGAGAGACAACGUUACAGAAUUUUUUCUGUAACAAAUUCUAUUCUUAAAUGAGGAGACAAUCAAUAGAAAUUGUUUUAACAUUGAAAGAGAAAAGGAAAAUGUAAAAAGUUAAAACAAGUCAACAUUUGCCCCACUCAUCAAACAGGAAACAUCAUCUUCCUUUUAACUUUUAUCCUUCAUCUCUCUCUAUGACUUUUCUUACUUUCUUUUUCCUUGAUAACACACAUAAAAUACCGAUAACCUAUUCAAGAUCAUCUCUUCAUCACCUAAAGAAAAAUACAAAAGGAAGUCAAUGAUGAUGGAGAGUAGAGAGAAACAAGAUCAACAACAAGGAAGUGAAAUCAAGUGCAAAGGAACAUCUGAAAGAGUCGAAGGGAAAAAAAGAAGGCGAGAUGAAAAUGAUAAUAGUGAUUUAAAAUAAUAGAAAUUAUGGUGAAAACUAAGAAUAGGAAGACUAAGGUGGCAAAGAAAUUGAAACUUUCAAGUAUUCCAAAGAUGACUUGGAAAUUGUGGAGAGGCAGAUAAUCUAGAUGAUGAAGAUAUAAAGAAAUUGAUGCAACAUGAAGAGUAAACAUUGAAAGGACAAGAGAGAAAGAGAGAGAGAUUCAAAAGUAGAAUACAAAGAAAAAGAGAAAGAGAGAGAGAGAGAGACAACCAUAGGAUAAAGAAAGAGAGAUCGCUGAUGAAAAGAAAUGGAAACUGGUGAUGAGGAUGGAGAUGAAGAUAAAGACAGAAAAAGAGAAAUUCGGAAAAUAAUAAGCCCGGAGUGUGUUAGGUUAGUGUGAGUUCAAUGUAGAGAAAAAAAAGAAGGAAAAAAGUAAAGUGAAAAAGAACUAGUUCGACCAAGAGGACUGAUGAUGAUGAUGAAAAGAGGAAGAGAGUGAGAGAGUGAGAGAAAAAAAGAGAGGAGGAAGAUGAGAGGAAAACCCUAGGAGAUGAUGAUGUAGAGAGAAAGAAGAGAGUGGAAAGAAAAUGAUCAAAUGAAUAACAUUUUUUUCAUCGAAACCCACUACCCAUUCAACCUCCUUCUCUUUACUCACAUUUCUCAUCUCUCCCAUAAUUUUCUCCCUUUUUCAUCUUCAUCCUUCUCAUCCUCAUCUUUCCGAGGGGGUGAGAGAUGAUGGAGGGCUUUAAGAGUAAGAGAAAUAGCAAAGAGAAGGAGAGAAAGAGAAAGUGAAGAUGAAGAUGAUAGACAGAUCAAGUUAUGCAAAAGUGUCGUUAACAAAGAUGAAGAUAAAGAUGAUAAAAGCAAGAGAGAGAGAGAGAGAGAGAGAGAGAGCAUCAACAGUAAAUGAUGAAAAUAGUAAAAGGAUUUACCCGAAUAAUAAUAAUACAAACAGACAAUCAGAUAGACAGACAUGAAAAUGAUGUAUUAUUAUUAUUGGUGGAUCAUUCAAACAAUCAUCUUCAUCUCCAUCUUCAAAUAUUCAUCAUCAUCACCAUCACCACCCUCAUCAUUCAAGAAGACAAAGAAAGAAAGAAAAUCCUCUCUAAUUGAAAAGAAUCAGAAAAAAAGAAACUAUUACAAUAAUCUACAUCCACCUUAACCAAAUCUCAACACCUUAAUUAUUUUCUCUCCACAUUCAAACUCUAUGUUGAUAGAUAACUGUGAGUCUCUCACUCUAAUCAAACAACAUCAUUAUACUGCUCCCUUAUCUCAUUAUUAUCUUCAUCUUCUUCAUCGUCAUCAUCAUCAUCUUCUUCUUCUUCCUUCCUUCUCUCACUCUACAUCUUCAAUUUCCUUUUUGUAGCUUUGGCAAUUGAAAUUGAUGAAAGAAAAAAAGAAAGAGAUGAAAAGUAAUGAAAAUCUGUAAACAAAUGAGUGACAUAGAAUCUUCAUCUUCUAAUCUAACUCCUCAUUAGUGUAAUUGUAAUGUUGAUGAUGAAGAUAAUCAUGUAUCAUUAAAGCAAUUAGCUAGAGUAAUAACCAUGAUAUUAGUUGAAGAUGAAAAUCACCUAAGUUCUUUGUCUUUCUGUAAAAGUUUUUCUAAUUUGUAUUGGAUUCACAAUUUUACAACUAUAACUAUUAUCAUUUGAAAUGAUAAUCGUAUUCAAAUUGUUACAAUCAACUCUCGAUAUUUGCAAUUAACAAAAAAAAAUCGUAAAAUGUUAUAUAUCUUAAGGCCACUUGAAGGCCACAAGAGGUAAUCAUUUUGAUCCUGUUGAAGCUUCCGAACAUGAAACUCUCACGAUUUUCUUAUGAAAAUUAUCCAAUUUACUUUCACCUUAUCAUCAUCAUCAUCUUCAUUAUCAUCUCCAUCCUCAUCUUUAUAUCUUCUUCCUGAUCUUCAUCUUCAUCUCCAUCAUAAACAAAAACAAGAAAAUCUUAUUCACUUUACAAUCGUGACUAAAAUUUAACUCCGAUUACAACAUGAUACCUUUUUUUUAUCUUCUUCACCAAUAAUCCUGAAUAUCACCUUAAAUGUUUAUUCAAUUUCUUAAUCCAUUAAUCAAAUAUUUAGAAAUUAACUUGAUAUUAGAACAGAAACUUUUUCUUUUCGAAAACUUUUCUAUUUAAAUGAAUUACCAUUGGUAAUAAGAUGAUGGAUCGACAUUUUUUAAUUUCUUUCUUAAAUCAAUGUUCUCAUUUUCUCCUCAUUAAUUAAAAUCCUCUUUCCCAAUCAAUUAUUAUUUUCUUCUUUAAGGUUAAUGGUCAGUUUAAUGUUAUUGUUUUCGAUGGUCAAUUAAUGUCCAGUGAAAGUACAGAAAAACAAGAAGGUAAUAAAUUUCAAGUAUCUCAAGGCUUAGUUGAUAUAAAUGGAGCAAAGUAAAUAAUAUCUUGGUCAUUGGUUUGGGUCACAAAUUAUAUUACAAGGUAAAUAUGCCUCAAGGUGGACCUGUGAUGUUUACCUGUUUAUCAUCGUUACCUGAGUAUAUAAAUCAGUCCAUUGAUGUCAACAGCAAUCAAAAAGAUCAGCUGAUUAAAAGUGGAAUUGAACAAUUAACAUGAAAACGAUUAACAAACGUAUACAGAUAAUAUAUUGAUAAUGAUAAUGAUUCUGGUUAAACCAUUAGGAAACGGAAGUUAAUCAAUUAGGAUUGAAAAGAUAAUUAUGAAUCUAACAAUCUCUCAAAUCUGAAAUGAUGAUGAAUGGAAACCAACAAGGAACCAGAAGAUAAUGAUGAUAAAAAUGAUGAGGAUAAAUAUGAUGAAGAGAAUGAGAAUUAAGUGAAUUGUGAAAGAAUCAAGUUUUUGAUUUAUAAAUUGCUUCUAGGCAAGAAUAUAAUCUUACUUGCUCCAUCAUAAUAAUCAUCAUCUCUCUCUCUCUCUCUCUCUCUCUCUCUCUCUCUCUGUUUAUCUUUGUAAAAAAGUUCUGAUCCUACUUUUGACAUCAUCAUCCUCAUCCUCAUCUUUAUCUUCAUCUUCAUCCGCAUCUUCCCUUCACAUCAAUCUCAAUUAGGAAUAAUUUUUUACAGAAAGUAAUUGGAAACAAUAAGAAAAGUGAAUCGAAAAACUUUUUCUAAGUUAAUUCAUCUUCCAAUUCACUUUUUUCACCAUGAUAAUAUUACCAUGAAUUUGUAGGUAACCCUCCUCAAUAUUUGAUUGCUCAUGAUAAUUUAUUAAUCACUUGUUAAAUUGUUCACUCAAAAAUGUGUAAUCAUUUAUAUAUAUUAAUACAAUUUGAUAAUUUUAUCAUUGAUCAUAAAUUAUAUUAAUAACAAUCCUACUUAUCAACAAUUAACUUUGAGAUAAUUUUUCUUAGGCGUUAAAUCAACGAUGAUGGUGGCCAGUUAAUUAUCAUAAUUUAAGUUAAUUGUUUCAAUUUCAUUGGUGGCACUUCAAUUUAUUAGCCAUCCAUUUAACACUAUCAAUAUAAUUAUCAAUUUUAAUUACUCACUUAUUUUAUACUAGUACAUGUA
Panonychus citri (citrus red mite) is the source of this 4479-nucleotide long non-coding RNA. RefSeq lists it as uncharacterized. The record is from RefSeq and is a predicted model, not a curated record. NCBI's taxonomy places the organism in Eukaryota, Metazoa, Arthropoda, Arachnida, Trombidiformes, Tetranychidae. The transcript is spliced from 5 exons.